This 472-nucleotide ribosomal RNA is filed under the name uncultured Curtobacterium sp. Its description in RNAcentral is "bacterial SSU rRNA". It matches the Rfam family "Bacterial small subunit ribosomal RNA", at positions 910 to 1382 of the family's 1533-position model. Lineage: Bacteria; Bacillati; Actinomycetota; Actinomycetes; Micrococcales; Microbacteriaceae. The record is from RNAcentral.
UUGACGGGGGCCCGCACAAGCGGCGGAGCAUGCGGAUUAAUUCGAUGCAACGCGAAGAACCUUACCAAGGCUUGACAUACACCGGUAACGCCCAGAGAUGGGUGCCCCUUUGUGGUCGGUGGACAGGUGGUGCAUGGUUGUCGUCAGCUCGUGUCGUGAGAUGUUGGGUUAAGUCCCGCAACGAGCGCAACCCUCGUCCUAUGUUGCCAGCGGGUCAUGCCGGGGACUCAUGGGAGACUGCCGGGGUCAACUCGGAGGAAGGUGGGGAUGACGUCAAAUCAUCAUGCCCCUUAUGUCUUGGGCUUCACGCAUGCUACAAUGGCCGGUACAAAGGGCUGCGAUACCGCGAGGUGGAGCGAAUCCCAGAAAGCCGGUCUCAGUUCGGAUUGGGGUCUGCAACUCGACCCCAUGAAGUCGGAGUCGCUAGUAAUCGCAGAUCAGCAACGCUGCGGUGAAUACGUUCCCGGGCCUU